This 1130-nucleotide long non-coding RNA is filed under the name Ananas comosus (pineapple). RNAcentral's name for it is "long non-coding RNA (ACOM_LNC020484)". The record is from RNAcentral. Lineage: Eukaryota; Viridiplantae; Streptophyta; Magnoliopsida; Poales; Bromeliaceae.
UCCCUAUUAUAAAAUUUUAGAUAAACUUCAAAUACCACCCCUGUAGUUUCACACUUUCUCAUUUUAAUAUCACGUGGUUUAAAAUAUAUCAAGUUAAUAUCUUAUUAUUUUAUUUUUCUCUUUUUGUCUGUUCCUCCAUUAAUAUUUUGUUCAAUUAUAUGUACAAAAAACUUCAGAUACCUUCCAUAGAUUUAUCAAAUAUUCACUUUAGUACCUUUUAUUUUUAACUUUGUCACUGAUUUAACGAAAAAAAAUAGUAGAGAGAAUAACCAAAAAAAAAAUACAGGGUAUAAAAGUGAUGCACUUUAAAAUACAAAUUACUAAGUGGGAAAGUGCGAAACCACAUAGAUGAUAUUUCAAGUUUUCCUAAUUUUUAAGUAGUACUAGUGAAAUACCCGCGCGAUGCUGCAGAUAUAAAAAUAUUUUUAUUAUAAUUUUUUUUUAAAUAUUUUUAUAUAGUUUUAUAAGUCUAAUUAUUAAUUAAAUAAAAAUUAUAUAAAAAUAAUUUAAUAGUUAAAUCUAUUUAAAUAAAAGUCAUUAAAACUGAUAUAUGCGCAAAGUAAAUUUAUACAACAAUUUAUUAUAUAAAAAUUUAUAUGAAAAUAAUUUGAAAUAAAUCUAUCAAAAUAAUUUAAAAAUAAUAAUAAAUAGAAGGAAAAUAAAAUAGUAGAAGAAUUGUUUAAUAAAAUUAAUUAUAUAUAUAUACACACAUAAACACUAUAUUUUUAAAAUUUUAGUCAUGAAAUUUAAAUUUCGUAUUUUUUUAUACAGCGAUAUUUUAUAUAAUUUAAAUUGCAUCUAUCAGAUUAGAUUUUAUUACGCAAUUUAUUACGCGUAUUAUUAAUAAAAUUAAUUAAUUAAUUUCAUAGAAUUUAGAGAUUUAAAAUUUUAAAAUUUGAAGUUUAAAAUUUGNCUUUAUUAUGAUUUCGAAAAUUUACGAAAUUUAUUUUCUAGAAGUUUCAAACACUCUAGAUCAUAUUUAACGGAGUGGAUCGUCGAUUCGAAAGCUCCAUUAUUAAAAACAACUUAUAAGUACGAGGGCUCCAAUACUCAUGAUAGUAUAGUAGCCACGGCCUAUAUAUAUAAUAUAUAUAUAGAGAGAGAGAGAGAGAGAGGGAGAGAGAGGGGGG